CUACGGGACGCUGCAGUGAGGAAUAUUGCGCAAUGGGGGAAACCCUGACGCAGCGACGCCGCGUGGAUGAUGAAGGCCUUCGGGUCGUAAAAUCCUGUCAGAAGGAAAGAAGUGUAUGGUAGCUAAUAUCUGCCAUACUUGACGGUACCUUCAAAGGAAGCACCGGCUAACUCCGUGCCAGCAGCCGCGGUAAUACGGAGGGUGCAAGCGUUGUUCGGAAUUACUGGGCGUAAAGCGCGCGUAGGCGGUUUUAUAAGUCAGAUGUGAAAGUCCACGGCUCAACCAUGGAAGUGCAUUUGAAACUGUAAGAGUUGAGUAUUGGAGGGGGUAGUGGAAUUCCCGGUGUAGAGGUGAAAUUCGUAGAUAUCGGGAGGAAUACCGGUGGCGAAGGCGACUAUCUGGCCAAAUACUGACGCUGAGGUGCGAAAGCGUGGGGAGCAAACAGGAUUAGAUACCCUAGUAGUC
Molecule: ribosomal RNA, 465 nt
Filed under: uncultured bacterium
Lineage: Bacteria
Description: partial 16S ribosomal RNA
Rfam family: Bacterial small subunit ribosomal RNA
Source: RNAcentral